This 648-nucleotide ribosomal RNA is filed under the name Rhodotorula diobovata. RNAcentral describes it as "LSU rRNA". It matches the Rfam family "Eukaryotic large subunit ribosomal RNA", at positions 56 to 722 of the family's 3401-position model. The record is from RNAcentral. Lineage: Eukaryota; Fungi; Basidiomycota; Microbotryomycetes; Sporidiobolales; Sporidiobolaceae.
UCAGACUAACAGGAUUCCCCUAGUAGCGGCGAGCGAAGCGGGAAGAGCUCAAAUUUAUAAUCUGGCACCUUCGGUGUCCGAGUUGUAAUCUCUAGAAGUGUUUUCCGCGUUGGACCGCACACAAGUCUGUUGGAAUACAGCGGCAUAGUGGUGAAACCCCCGUAUAUGGUGCGGACGCCCAGCGCUUUGUGAUACACUUUCAAUGAGUCGAGUUGUUUGGGAAUGCAGCUCAAAUUGGGUGGUAAAUUCCAUCUAAAGCUAAAUAUUGGCGAGAGACCGAUAGCGAACAAGUACCGUGAGGGAAAGAUGAAAAGCACUUUGGAAAGAGAGUUAACAGUACGUGAAAUUGUUGGAAGGGAAACGCUUGAAGUCAGACUUGCUUGCCGGAGCUUGCUUCGGUUUGCAGGCCAGCAUCAGUUUUCCGGGGUGGAUAAUGACGGUUUGAAGGUAGCAGUCUCGGCUGUGUUAUAGCUUUCCGUUGGAUACGCCCUGGGGGACUGAGGAACGCAGCGUGCUUUUUGCGAAAGACUCGUCUUUUUCACGCUUAGGAUGCUGGUGGAAUGGCUUUAAACGACCCGUCUUGAAACACGGACCAAGGAGUCUAACAUGCUCGCGAGUAUUUGGGUGUCAAACCCGGAUGCGCAAUGA